Molecule: ribosomal RNA, 253 nt
Filed under: uncultured bacterium
Lineage: Bacteria
Description: partial 16S ribosomal RNA
Rfam family: Bacterial small subunit ribosomal RNA
Source: RNAcentral
UACGGAGGGGGCAAGCGGUGUUCGGAAUUACUGGGCGUAAAGGGCGCGUAGGCGGCCUGCUGCGUCGGGUGUGAAAGCCCCGGGCUCAACCUGGGAGGUGCACUUGAUACGGGCGGGCUGGAAUCCGGGAGAGGAUGGUGGAAUUCCCAGUGUAGAGGUGAAAUUCGUAGAUAUUGGGAAGAACACCGAUGGCGAAGGCAGCCAUCUGGACCGGUAUUGACGCUGAGGCGCGAAAGCGUGGGGAGCAAACAGG